Long non-coding RNA from Bos indicus x Bos taurus (hybrid cattle), 1834 nucleotides. The record is from Ensembl. Lineage: Eukaryota; Metazoa; Chordata; Mammalia; Artiodactyla; Bovidae.
AUGAUGCUUUUUCUUCUUCCCAUUUUGCAUUUUCUUAAUCAUCUUUGGCUAGCGUAUUUUAAUGUUAUAACAAAAAACUACGUCUUGAAAGAGGUCUCUCCGGCGGCGGCCGGCAGGGGGCGCGCGGCCCCCGCUCGGCGUCGCUCGGCCUCGAGUUCCCACAGGGCCCCGGGCGCCAUGGGCUGCGCCAAGAGCAAGGAGGGGCGGGCGGCCGAGCGGAAGGCCAAACGCAAGAGUGACCGGGGCGGUCGCACGGCAGGAAUCCAGGACCCUGGGCUGAGAGUGACAGACUCAAAGCGCCAGAGGCGGUUUUACACCGGUUUUAUCUGGAGAUUCUGAUUGGGUAGGUCUUGUGUGAGGCGCCGCCAUGUACCCUCAGGCCCCCACACCCUCUUGCCAUCUAUCCCCAAUCUUAUCAGACAGAUCUUGCCCCUACUCCCGUGAAUCUUCACGUUUCUGACGCACUUUAUCCUUCAGCACGUUUCUGACGCACCCCACUGUAUCCUUUCAAUUACUCUUUGAGGUGAGAAAGAUUCUUGUAUUUCCUCGGCUUUGCAGGUAAUGGCCAUAGUGGCUAACAGUUACUAAGCACUGUUCAAACACUUGACGUGGACAAUCUUAUUUUACAGAUACAGAAACUGAGGCACCUAGAGGUUACAAAACCCGCCCAAAGAUCCGCAGCUGAUAAGUGGUAGAAUAUGGGCGGGGUGGAACAUGGCUGAGGCAAUUUGAUUCCAAAGCCCAGGUCUUCACCAUUGUACUCCACCUCUCACCUCUGAUUUUCGCAAGUGUAAAAAGUGAGACCCACAAAAGUAACUUGCCCGAUUUAAAAAAAAAAAGAAGUGUGUUGUGUUGUUUUUUUUUUUUUUAAACCAAGGUGUAGUUGAUUUACAAUGUUGUGUGAAUUGUAACCUGCCCAGCUGAUGGAGUUGGUAAAUGCUGUAGGGUCUGCCUCUUUCAGAGACUUAAAAUUUAGUUAGGGCAGCAUAUGGUGAAGGUCUAAGAGGAAUGUUAGAAACAGCCAAGUGGGGAAGGCAACUCCCUUGGAAAUAAGGAUUUUGCAGGGGUAUCUCAAAGAUGUCUUGCUCUGGGAGUAGCUGAUAAGACCAGCCUGGAAGUGGUAAAGACUUGAAAUGGGGGAAGGGAAGAAUGAGAGAAAGUGGGGUGGGGGAGUUGCUGCUCAAGGUCACACAGGUCAGGGUUAGGGUUAGUGUUAGGUUUAGGUGAAGGAGUUUGAGUCUGCGUGUCCCAAAUUUGCCUUCCGUGUACCAGUUUCAGAAUUUUUUCCCAUAUUCAUGUACUAUGAUCUAUUUUUCUUUAAUUAUGUCACCUUCUGAAAUGCUUUAUAAUUGAAAUAUACUGUAUGUACAGAAAAGUGCAAUUAUUUUUGCAAACUGAACGACCCUAUCCAGCCAGCACCCAGCUAAAGAAACAAGCUUUCCAAUACCUCAGAAACCCCCUCAUGCCUCUUACUGUCACACCACCACACCAAGGGCAACCACUUUGCUGAUUUCUUCUUUUUUUUUUUUUGCCCCACCUCAAGGCUUGAGGGAUCUUAGUUCUGCCACCAGAGAUUAAAGCCAGACUGUCAGCAGUGGAAGCAUGGAGUCCUAACCACUGGACUGCCAGAGAAUUCCCUUUGCUUAUUUCUAAUAGCAUAAAAAUGUCACCUUUGCAUUUACUUUUCAAAAUAAGUUUAGCAUUUUUUAAGCAUUAAUCUAUAGAAGCACUGCUUUGUUCUACACAUUUUUCUAUCAGGGAAGCCCACAUUUUUCUAUACACAUACAUAUAUGCAUCCUGUUGAACUUUAAUAAAAAUGUUCUUCCAUGUAUCA